RNAcentral lists this ribosomal RNA (349 nucleotides) under Janolus flavoanulatus. RNAcentral describes it as "partial 16S large subunit ribosomal RNA". It matches the Rfam family "Archaeal large subunit ribosomal RNA", at positions 1920 to 2554 of the family's 2987-position model. The record is from RNAcentral. Lineage: Eukaryota; Metazoa; Mollusca; Gastropoda; Nudibranchia; Zephyrinidae.
AGCCAUAAGCUAUUAUUUAUGGUUUAACCUGCCCAAUGUGAAUAAAGUAAUAAAUGGCCGCGGUACCCUGACCGUGCUAAGGUAGCGUAAUCAGUUGGCUUUUAAAUGGAGUCAGGUAUGAAUGGGAGAACCGGGUUUAGCUGUCUCUUAAUUAUUUUCUUGAAUUUACUGUUUAAGUGAAAAAGCUUAACUAAAGAAGAGGGACGAGAAGACCCUUAGAAUUUAUUCAAAGGUAAAUUAAAUUUAUAACGAUUUUGUUGGGGCGACAAAGAAAUAUGUCAUAACUUUCUCUUUUAUACAUGCCGAUUAUAUUAAGUAAGAAAAAAUUACCUGAGGGAUAACAGCAUAA